UACGGAGGGUUCGAGCGUUGUCCGGAAUCACUGGGCGUAAAGGGCGCGUAGGUGGCGCGACAAGUCAACGGUGAAAGCCCGGGGCUCAACCCCGGGUCGGCCGUCGAUACUGUUGGGCUUGAGCACUGUAGAGGCAGAUGGAAUUCCGGGUGUAGCGGUGGAAUGCGUAGAGAUCCGGAAGAACACCGGUGGCGAAGGCGGUCUGCUGGGCAGUAGCUGACACUGAUGCGCGACAGCGUGGGGAGCAAACAGG
Molecule: ribosomal RNA, 253 nt
Filed under: uncultured bacterium
Lineage: Bacteria
Description: partial 16S ribosomal RNA
Rfam family: Bacterial small subunit ribosomal RNA
Source: RNAcentral